CAAACCAAAACGAAUAUAGCUAAGCUUUUGCUUUUUUAACCUAUUUACAAUUUUUCGUGUAAUCGUUUCUCGAAAUGAAGGGUAAAAUACAUUUUUCGUGUGAUUUUUUUUUGUUUACGCGCCAUUUAUCCGGACAAUGUUUUCGCCGUCUUCGCGGAUUGAAAAAACUGAAAACAUGGAUGAAUUCAGGAGUUCAGAUGGGAUUGAACUGACCGGAUUUAUUUCGGUAGUUCCUCGCUCAUCUUUCGGUGUUGAUGGAGCUUCCGGAAAGUUUCUAAGCUUCUGCUUAAGACGAUGGGCCGCAAUUUUAGCAGAAAGAUGGUACUGGUGGAUGAUCCGGAAAAAUAUACUGGAUCUGGAUGGUUUCUUUGAGUAGUAAGGUGCCGCGCAAAAGUUUUGGAAGCCGAAAAGAAAACGAAAGCAUCGGAGUACGGCGGUACUAACUAUGAUCUGCUUCAUGAGAGAAGAUUCAAGACGGUAACACACGGUAAUGACUUUCACCAGAGUCAUUUGCAGAUAUUGUGAAGCCACCAGAGCCCGGCCAUGUUUUUACCACGCCCAAAGGAUGAGCUGCAUAACAAAAAAAAAUAUGUUGUGAUUUUUGUUAAA
Molecule: long non-coding RNA, 609 nt
Organism: Uranotaenia lowii
Lineage: Eukaryota; Metazoa; Arthropoda; Insecta; Diptera; Culicidae
Exons: 3
Source: RefSeq, a predicted model, not a curated record